CUGCCUCAGCCUCCUGAGUAGCUGGGAUUACAGGUGCAUGCCACAACACCCGGUUCAUUUUUGUAUUUUUAGUACAGACGGGAUUUUGCCAUGUGGGCCAGCUGGUCUCGAAUUCCUGUCCUCAAGUGAUCUGCCCGCCUUGGCCUCCCAAAGUGCUGGGAUUACAGAUGUGAGAGCAUGCAUACAACUUCAGUAAACACAUGGCGCAUGUCCCCCUCCCAGGUGCUAGCAGGCCAUUGCGAAUGUGGACAGCCCAUCCCAAGGGAAGAAUCGGGGAAAAGGGAUAAAAGACCCCAGAAGUAUGUCAACUUAUAAAACCCCAAAGUCAAAUUACCCACUUGUCUUGCAAGUCACCCACUUGGCUCUCUUCAAGUGUAUUUCUCUUCCUUUUGUUUCUGCUCUAAAACUUUUAAUAUAGUUUUACUCCUGCUCUAAAACUUGCCUCAGUCUCUCCUUCUGCCCUAUGUCCCUCAGUUGAAUUCUUUCUUCUGAGGAGGCAAGAAUUGAGGUUGCUGCAGACUCAUACAGAUUCGCCCCAGUAACUUGGAUACUGGCCACUGGUAACAUAUUUUGGUGCCGUGGGACUUGGAUAACUUCUGCCACUAACAUACUUUGAUGCUGCAUGACUCAGAUAUGUUCCCUAGUGGUAAGAGACCCCUCUACCACACCUUCUUUGGCUGGAGGCAUUCAAUCCUUGUACAUGGUGGUCUUCUCCUUUUCUCUCUCCUGCUUGCUAACCAACCCCCAGAAUAAGUCCUUCAGCCAUAAGUGACUCUGCUCCUCUUGGCUGAUUUCUCAGUUCACUCUGAUGGAUGGCUUCCAGGGGUGGGAA
RNAcentral lists this long non-coding RNA (832 nucleotides) under Pan troglodytes (chimpanzee). Its description in RNAcentral is "long non-coding RNA NONPTRT011540". The record is from RNAcentral. Lineage: Eukaryota; Metazoa; Chordata; Mammalia; Primates; Hominidae.